GACGAAGGGGCUAGCGUUGUUCGGAAUUACUGGGCGUAAAGCGCGUGUAGGCGGUUGUUCAAGUCAGGUGUGAAAGCCUUGAGCUCAACUCAAGAAAUGCACUUGAUACUGGAUGACUAGAGGACCGGAGAGGAUAGUGGAAUUCCCAGUGUAGUGGUGAAAUACGUAGAGAUUGGGAAGAACACCAGUGGCGAAGGCGGCUAUCUGGACGGUUUCUGACGCUAAGACGAAAGCGUGG
Molecule: ribosomal RNA, 238 nt
Filed under: uncultured bacterium
Lineage: Bacteria
Description: partial 16S ribosomal RNA
Rfam family: Bacterial small subunit ribosomal RNA
Source: RNAcentral